AGAGUUUGAUCCUGGCUCAGGAUGAACGCUAGCGGCAGGCCUAACACAUGCAAGUCGAGGGGUAGAGUUCUUCGGAACUUGAGACCGGCGCACGGGUGCGUAACGCGUAUGCAAUCUACCUUAUACAGGGGAAUAGCCCAGAGAAACUUGGAUUAAUGCCCCAUAGUAUUAUUGAAUCGCAUGGUUUGAUAAUUAAAGUUCCAACGGUAUAAGAUGAGCAUGCGUCCCAUUAGUUAGUUGGUAAGGUAACGGCUUACCAAGACAAUGAUGGGUAGGGGUCCUGAGAGGGAGAUCCCCCACACUGGUACCGAGACACGGACCAGACUCCUACGGGAGGCAGCAGUGAGGAAUAUUGGUCAAUGGUCGCAAGACUGAACCAGCCAUGCCGCGUGCAGGAAGACGGUCCUAUGGAUUGUAAACUGCUUUUAUACAGGAAGAAACCCUCCCACGUGUGGGAGCUUGACGGUACUGUAGGAAUAAGGAUCGGCUAACUCCGUGCCAGCAGCCGCGGUAAUACGGAGGAUCCAAGCGUUAUCUGGAAUCAUUGGGUUUAAAGGGUCCGUAGGCGGUCUUAUAAGUCAGCGGUGAAAGCCCAUCGCCCAACGAUGGAACUGCCAUUGAUACUGUAAGACUUGAAUUCUUAGGAAGUAACUAGAAUAUGUAGUGUAGCGGUGAAAUGCUUAGAUAUUACAUGGAAUACCAAUUGCGAAGGCAGGUUACUACUAAGCGAUUGACGCUGAUGGACGAAAGCGUGGGGAGCGAACAGGAUUAGAUACCCUGGUAGUCCACGCCGUAAACGAUGGAUACUAGCUGUUCGGAGCAAUCUGAGUGGCUAAGCGAAAGUGAUAAGUAUCCCACCUGGGGAGUACGCACGCAAGUGUGAAACUCAAAGGAAUUGACGG
RNAcentral lists this ribosomal RNA (902 nucleotides) under uncultured bacterium. Its description in RNAcentral is "bacterial SSU rRNA". It matches the Rfam family "Bacterial small subunit ribosomal RNA", at positions 8 to 916 of the family's 1533-position model. The record is from RNAcentral.